GGUGGCUCAAGUGGUAGAGCGUUUGCCUUGCAUGCAUGAGACCCUGGGUUCGAUUCCUCAGCACCA
RNAcentral lists this transfer RNA (66 nucleotides) under Dipodomys ordii (Ord's kangaroo rat). It matches the Rfam family "tRNA". Rfam says of the family: Transfer RNA (tRNA) molecules are approximately 80 nucleotides in length. The record is from Rfam by way of RNAcentral. Lineage: Eukaryota; Metazoa; Chordata; Mammalia; Rodentia; Heteromyidae.